UGAUGACGAGACGCUAAGGCGUUGAAGCGGUGUAUGUCAGACUUCCAAGAAAAGCUCGCAAUGUCACAAAUAAAAAUGCCUGUACCAUAACCGACACAGGUGGGUAGGUAGAGUAUACUAAGGGGCGCGAGAUAACUCUCUCUAAGGAACUCGGCAAAAUGACUCCGUAACUUCGGGAGAAGGAGUGCCUUAUUUAUAAGGUUGCAAUAACAAGAUCCAAGCAACUGUUUAUCAAAAACACAGGUCUCCGCUAAGUCGUAAGACGAUGUAUGGGGGCUGACGCCUGCCCAGUGCCAGAAGGUUAAAGAAGUUGGUUAGUGUAUGCGAAGCUGAUGACUGAAGCCCUGGUGAACGGCGGCCGUAACGAUAACGGUCCUAAGGUAGCGAAAUUCCUUGUCGGGUAAGUUCCGACCCGCACGAAAGGCGUAAUGAUUUGGAUACUGUCUCGGAGAGAGGCUCGGUGAAAUAGACUUGUCUGUGAAGAUGCGGACUACCUGCACCAGGACAGAAAGACCCUAUGAAGCUUUACUGUAACUUGAAAUUGGAAUUGGACUUUGCUUGCGCAGUAUAGGUGGGAAGCGUUGAAAAUAUUCUUGCGGGAGUAUUGGAGCUAUCAGUGAGAUACCACUCUUGUAAUGUUAGAUUUCUAACUUUGAGCCAUAAUCUGGUCAAAGAACAGUUUCAGGUGGGCAGUUUGACUGGGGCGGUCGCCUCCCAAAUGGUAACGGAGGCGUACAAAGGUUUCCUCUGAACGGAUAGAAAUCGUAUCUAGAGUGUAAAGGCAUAAGGAAGCUUGACUGUGAGACCUACAAGUCGAGCAGGGACGAAAGUCGGUCUUAGUGAUCUGACGGUACUGAGUGGAAAGGCCGUCACUCAACGGAUAAAAGUUACUCUAGGAUAACAGGCUGUUCUCCCCCAAGAGUUCACAUCGACGGGGAGGUUUGGCACCUCGAUGUCGGCUCAUCGCAUCCUGGGGCGGUAGUACGUCCCAAGGGUUGGGCUGUUCGCCCAUGAAAGCGGUACGCGAGCUGGGUUCAGAACGUCGUGAGACAGUUCGGUCCAUAUCCGGUGUAGGCGCUAGAAUAUUGAGAGGAGCCUUCUUUAGUACGAGAGGACCGAGAAGGACACACCGCUGGUGUACCAGUUAUCGUGCCAACGGUAAACGCUGGGUAGCUAUGUGUGGAGUGGAUAACCGCUGAAAGCAUCUAAGUGGGAAGCCCACCUCGAGAUGAGUAUUCUC
This 1240-nucleotide ribosomal RNA is filed under the name metagenome. Its description in RNAcentral is "bacterial LSU rRNA". It matches the Rfam family "Bacterial large subunit ribosomal RNA", at positions 1564 to 2815 of the family's 2925-position model. The record is from RNAcentral.